UGGGUACACAAAUCUUUUAGACACUUGGCAUAAGAAGGAACUUGUUGAAUGGCAUCUAAAAGAGGAAUGUUUAUCUUGACUUGUUUGAAAACCUCUAGGAUUUGUUCCAUUUGGGCCGAUUGUUUAGGAGGAAUGAGUCUUUGUGGGUAAGGAACCCUUGGCUUGUAAACUUCUUCGUUGGGCUUUUGAGAAAUGGGCCCAGGACUA
RNAcentral lists this long non-coding RNA (207 nucleotides) under Daucus carota (carrot). RNAcentral's name for it is "long non-coding RNA (DCAR_LNC007171)". The record is from RNAcentral. Lineage: Eukaryota; Viridiplantae; Streptophyta; Magnoliopsida; Apiales; Apiaceae.